RNAcentral lists this transfer RNA (64 nucleotides) under Bolitobius castaneus. RNAcentral's name for it is "tRNA-Phe". The record is from RNAcentral. Lineage: Eukaryota; Metazoa; Arthropoda; Insecta; Coleoptera; Staphylinidae.
ACUUAAAUAGCUUAUAAAGAGCAUGAUAUUGAAGAUAUCAAGGUAAUAGUAUUAUUUUUAAGUA